ACAAUAAAUACAUAAAAAACAGAAAGAGUUCCUCGUUGUUACAGACAUUUCACAUCUGUGUCUAUUUUUGUCUCUGCAGACAUCAUCACUACAGGGUUUACUGGGAGAAUUUUAAACGUCCGUGGGACAGGGCCAGGAGACGUCUGUGGGACGAGCUGAGGAAAAAGCUGGGCUGACGACCUCCACCUCCGAGACAUCCGGAACCCCAUUAGCCGCCAGCCUCUCCUCCCCCCAAUGAGCCAAAUAAAG
Molecule: long non-coding RNA, 249 nt
Filed under: Oryzias javanicus (javanese ricefish)
Lineage: Eukaryota; Metazoa; Chordata; Actinopteri; Beloniformes; Adrianichthyidae
Description: lncRNA (ENSOJAG00000006632.1)
Source: RNAcentral